GAUGAACGCUGGCGGUAUGCUUAACACAUGCAAGUCGAACGGACUCUUCGGAGUUAGUGGCGGACGGGUGAGUAACGCGUGAGAAUCUGGCUUUGGGUUCGGGACAACCACUGGAAACGGUGGCUAAUACCGGAUGUGCCGAGAGGUAAAAGAGAAAUUGCCUGAAGAUGAGCUCGCGUCUGAUUAGCUAGUUGGUGAGGUAAAGGCUCACCAAGGCAGCGAUCAGUAGCUGGUCUGAGAGGAUGACCAGCCACACUGGGACUGAGACACGGCCCAGACUCCUACGGGAGGCAGCAGUGGGGAAUUUUCCGCAAUGGGCGAAAGCCUGACGGGGCAGUACCGCGUGAGGGAAGAAGGCUCUUGGGGUGUAAACCUCUUUUCUUAGGGAAGAACAAAAUGGCGGUACCUAAGGAAUCAGCAUCGGCUAACUCCGUG
RNAcentral lists this ribosomal RNA (435 nucleotides) under uncultured bacterium. Its description in RNAcentral is "partial 16S ribosomal RNA". It matches the Rfam family "Bacterial small subunit ribosomal RNA", at positions 28 to 507 of the family's 1533-position model. The record is from RNAcentral.